Molecule: ribosomal RNA, 497 nt
Filed under: uncultured bacterium
Lineage: Bacteria
Description: partial 16S ribosomal RNA
Rfam family: Bacterial small subunit ribosomal RNA
Source: RNAcentral
GAUGAACGCUGGCGGCGUGCCUAAUACAUGCAAGUCGAGCGAACGGACGAGAAGCUUGCUUUUCUGAUGUUAGCGGCGGACGGGUGAGUAACACGUGGAUAACCUACCUAUAAGAGUGGGAUAACUUCGGGAAACCGGAGCUAAUACCGGAUAAUAUUGUGAACCGCAUGGUUCAAAAGUGAAAGACGGUCUUGCUGUCACUUAUAGAUGGAUCCGCGCUGCAUUAGGUAGUUGGUAAGGUAACGGCUUACCAAGGCAACGAUGCAUAGCCGACCUGAGAGGAUGAUCGGCCACACUGGAACUGAGACACGGUCCAGACUCCUACGGGAGGCAGCAGUAGGGAAUCUUCCGCAAUGGGCGAAAGCCUGACGCAGCAAUGCCGCGUGAGUGAAGAAGGUCUUCGGAUCGUAAAGCUCUGUUAUUAGGGAAGAACAUAUGUGUAAGUAACUGUGCACAUCUUGACGGUACCUAAUCAGAAAGCCCCGGCUAACUACGUG